UCUCCAGAACAGGAUAUGUCUAGUCAAACCCAUCUGGUCCUGGAGCCACACACCCCUGGCCCAGGGCUCCGCAGCGGGGAGUCGUUCCCGGCCAUUGACAAACCCCAGUCCAGGCCUGCUUCGCCUGGCAAGGACUGGGUAGGCUGUGCCAGCCAUGGGCGCUGGCCCGGCCCCAUCCUGGGUGCCGCAACUCCAGUUCGUGCUGGGAGGACAGAGGACCUGUGGAAGCUAGGGAGCUGGGGGCGGGGGUCCGCGGGGGUGCUCCUCUCAGAUCUGAGAAGGUCCUGGACCAGGUGGCGGUGGCACAACCAGGUGCCGGAAGGCGGAGGCGGGCAGCUGGCGACGCACCACCAACAGGGAGUCCAGGCUGAGUAGGCUGCCUGUCACCAGCCUCCAGCCACCCGUCCUGCUGCCUUUGGAGUUCAAGAUCCUAGCCAAGGCCUGUAACACAUCUGUCCAAGAGUCCGGACAUGGUGCUGCUGGUUGGCCAUCCCGUUUGCGUGCCAUAGCUGCAACCGCUGUACAAUCUCAACCCUGCAACAUUAAUGCCUGAUGAUAACCCUGAGGUGGCCCUCCAUGACUGCGGGGACUUGCUGGACAUAUCUCAGGCCAGCUGGCCAGAUCUCCAGGACACUCCCGUGCUUAAGGCCUAUUGACUGCUGAGAAAAAAAGUCCAGACUGCAGUCCGUUCUAGGGUUCCAGAUGCCCUUCCGGUUCCCUCCUCACUGCCUUGUCACUCAUUCUGACCCAGAGACCCAGGUACAUCAAGAAGUUUCAGAAGAAAGGACUGAUACCUGCCUGGAAGGGACCUCCCACUGUUACCCUGACCACACCAGCUGCUGCAAUCAAGGUUGACCAGAUGUCUGCCUGGGUUCACCACGCCCUUGCCAAGCCUGUUCCAAACCAGGACCAGAAAUGGACCAUCUUAUCUGAUCCACCCAGGCUAAGACUCUCUCACAACAGGACUCCUGUUUGAUUACGCGUCCCCCUUUCUGUGUCUUGUAAUACUAGUCUCAUGGUUACAAAUAACUCAAACUUAUUUCGCUUCCACGGGAACUUGGCUUGAGUGUACCAUCGGUCUCAUCCACUGUAUGACCUCAGAACAUCUGUGUAACAAUCCAGUUUUAUGCAUGACUGUCCACCUACUGCCCCCAAGUGUAUGCUUGAUAAGGACCAGAGAGGACCUACCCCUUAUUCCCCUUUGUGCUGCCUCACCAGCUCUACGGGAGAGCUGCCCUACUCCUCAUUCCAAUGAAGUAAAUUGCCUUUUAAAGUUCAUCAGAUAAAGAAUUGCCUCUAUUUGGCUAAUGAUU
Molecule: long non-coding RNA, 1313 nt
Organism: Peromyscus californicus insignis
Lineage: Eukaryota; Metazoa; Chordata; Mammalia; Rodentia; Cricetidae
Exons: 4
Source: RefSeq, a predicted model, not a curated record